GGGGAAGAGAUAAGAUGAGGGAGAGAGUCUUGUGUGGCCCACCAGCCCACUUGUCGUGCAGGGGAGGCCGCAUGAAAAAUCAGCUGGCUGAGCCGAAUCAUUUUCCUUUAGGAAACUGCAGCGAGCUAUCCUUCCCCAGUCCUCCCUCGCCUCCUUCCCCCCCGGCGGCCAUCAACGAGUAUACAUUCAUUUGGUCACCCUUUUCCCUGGGCCCUUCGGCUGGUAUUCCAUCCAUCUUCCGAAACAUGGGACGUCAAAGCUAAACACUCCUGGGAGAUAUAUGAUACCAUGGCGAGCAAGUUACAACAUAUGAGUGUGAUACCAAGGGAAUUUACCCUCCAAUAUCUGGAACAGAUUACAGAUAACUUCUCCGAGGGCCACAUAAUUGGUCGUGGUGAGCAUGGAGUAGUUUACAAGGGAGUGCUGGAUAAUGGGGAAGAGAUUGCUCUGAAGAAGUUAUAUCAUAUGCCAGAGCUUGAUGACACACAAUUCAGGAAUGAGUUAAAUAACCUUGUGAGAGCCCGGCAUCAAAAUAUUAUCCGGUUGAUUGGUUACUGUUGUAAUAUUGGGCAUAAACGUGUUAAACACGAUGAUGAAUAUACCUCUGCAGUAGUGGAAGAGAGAUUUCUCUGCUUCGAAUACUUGCAGGGCGGAAGCUUGGACAAGUAUAUUUCUGAUGAAUCAUGUGCACUUGAUUGGCUCACAUGUUUCAAAAUCAUUAAGGGGGUAUGUGAAGGUUUGAAUUACCUUCAUAAUGGAACCAAUGAUCAUAUAUUCCAUCUGGAUCUAAAACCUAGCAAUAUAUUGCUAGACAAGAAUAUGAUGCCCAAAAUAGGAGAUUUUGGUUACUCGCGACUCUUCCCUUCAGCACAGACAUAUGUCACAACUGAAGCUACAGAACAGACACGGGGAUACAAGCCACCAGAAUACAUCAAUAAAGGAGAAACUACAUCAAAAUUUGACAUAUUCAGUUUGGGCGUUAUAAUAAUAGAAAUAAUAGCAAGGUUUAUUGGCUAUUCUCGCCGCUCAGACAUGCCUUUUCAAGAUCUUUUUGAUUUCGUACAUCUAAACUGGAAGAACAAGUUGGUGGCAAUGACGUCGUGUGAUACAUCACGACAAGUUAGGGUAUGCUUAGAAAUGGCGUUAAGAUGUUCGGAGGACGACCAAAUGAAAAGACCUCCUAUAGCCGAGAUUGUCAAGGAGCUGAAUAAAUUAAACACUGCCGAAAGUUCUUUUACAGGCGAGGCGGAGAUGGAGGACCGGGGCUCUGAAUGGCUUCAUGCAGCGAUGGAGCUUCCUGUUUCCGCUUCGCUCGGCCCUAUAGGAUCCCUGUUCCGGAAACUCCAUUCAUUUAAGGCUACCAAGGAAAUUCUGCCAGCGGGGGUUAAUGAAGGUGAGAUCCACAGUCUCAAAAAAGAGCUCAAGGAAUUAUGCAUCUCGCUCAUGGGUCUGUCAGAGGCCAAUGACACCAGCUUAACGGCCAAGUACUGGAUGAAGGAGGUGCGUGAAGUCUGUUAUGAUACAGAGAAUUACUUUGACAAGCUUAUAAUGCAGCCCAGUAAUGGCAGUAAUGUGCGUUGGAUUCACAAACUGCUGAAAAGACGGCCCCAGAUUGCAAUUGAUUUCUCAACAUUAGUGGCUCGUGUGGCCGAUGCCCGUGAAAGACGUGGACGACUCGUCAAAUGGAACACAAAUAAUGAAAACAUCGAACAAGAAAGUGGACAAGCUUGUACCACUCCAGCCGUUGCUAGUUCCUCCACAUUGUCUCUCCAAACGCCGGUACUGGUUGCCUGUGUCAGGAGGCCCGAGCUGACCCUCAAACUGUCGGUGCCAGCUGCUGCACACAUGGACAAUCUCGUCAACCUCCUGGCAUUCGACGACCAAAAACAGAAACGACUCAAGGUAGUAUCUAUUUUUGGGUUUGCGGGUGUUGGAAAGACAACAGUUACCAGGACCUUAUAUCGUAAGUUUGGAGGAAAAUUUGACUGUCGGGCUUUUCUACGGAUGUCUCGGCAGCCGGAUAUAAGGAGGCUUCUCACCAGCAUGCUCUCCCAAAUCAAGGCACCUCCGGCCCACGCCUAUGCUGAUGUGCAAGUGCUCGUUGCCAAUAUCAGGACACAUCUAGAACACAAAAGGUACUUCCUAAUAAUUGAUGAGUUAUGGACUCCAUCUGUAUGGAACACUAUUAGGCGUGCUUUUCCUGAUGGCAACUGUUGCAGCAGAGUCAUAACCACCACACAAAAUGAGGAUGCGGCUUUGGCCUGCUGUAGCUAUCAGUCAAAGUACAUAUUUGAAAUGACAUCAGUUAGUGGUUAUCAAUCAGCAGAAUUAUCAUCCACUGGAGUCUCUGACUCGGGGUGUGCUUCUCGUCAAGAUUUUGAAGAACUUUCUUAUGGGGUUAUCAUGACAUCCGGUGGCUUACCGUUAGCAAGUGUUAACACCGGCAGUAUAACUGAACCAAACCUCGUAAAGGAGCAAUGGGAGCAGAUACAAGAUUCUCUGUCCUCUACUUUGAGUGCAAACCCUACUUGUGAAGUGAUCGAAGAAGUCCUAAACCUUAUUUACAAUAGUCUUCCACGUCACUUGAAGACAUGCUUGCUCUAUCUUAAUAUGUAUCCAGAGGGAUACACGAUCUGGAAGUAUGUUCUUGUAGGCCAGUGGAUUGCAGAAGGUUUCAUUGGGGUCACUCGAAGAAAAAAAGGUUUUGUGGGUGCAGUAAAACAGCAAGACAAAGAGGAAGAUGAAGUAGAAGAACAAGUUAGUGUUGCUCAGGGUUAUUUCAUUGAGCUUGCUCGUAGAGGAAUGAUCCAAGCUGUAGACACCAAUGAUGAAGGUGAAGUAUUAUCAUGUACAGUCCACCACAUGGUAUUGGAUCUUAUUAGGCGCAAAUCCAUGGAGGAUAACUUCGUCACUACUGUGGACAAAUUUCCAUCAGCUCUAGUCCUUCCUGACAUGGUUCGUCGACUGUCCAUCCAGUUUGGAGAUGCAAAAGCUGCAAAGAUACCAGAAAACAUGUUUUUGUCCCAAGUUCUAUCACUUUUAUACUUUGGAUCUUUUGAAUGUGCACCUUCCACUGGGGAUUAUGUGUUUCUUCAAGUUCUGAAUCUUCAUAUCUGGGCAGAUCAAGAAAAGACUUUUGACCUUACUACAAUAUCAAAACUAUGCUGGUUAAAACAUUUUAAGGUCGAAUGUAAUACCACCGUCAACCUUCCAGCCAAGGUUCAGAUGCUUCAAAACUUAGGAACACUGGAAGUGGAUGCUCCGCUAUCUGUUGUUCCAUCGGAUAUUUUUGCUUUGAAGAGUCUGUUGCACCUAUGCCUUCCAAGCCAGGUUACUCUGCCUGAUGGGAUUGUACACAUGACAUCACUUCGCCGCCUAGGGGAUUUUAGCCUCAACACUAACUCAACCGACAAUGUGCUGGGACUAGGCAAGCUUAUUAAUCUAUGGGAUCUUCGGCUGACAUGUUCCACAGUAAAACCUGGGGGUCUGAUUGGGAACAUGAAGCAUUUUGGCUCAAUUCUAGGGGAUUUCGAGCAACUCAAGUCUCUAAUUAUUGACUCUGAAACUCCGAAUGUGGGUAUUUCUUGUGACUGCCUAAGCAGUGUUUCCUGUGGUCCGGUCCUUCUUGAAAGAGUUGAGUUCCCACGGAAUUUCAUCUUUCCAAGCCUUCCCAAGUGGUUCGGAGAUUUGGAGAAACUCUGCAUUUUGAAGGUAACUGUUAGGGAGACAUCGACGGAAGAUAUUAAUAUCCUUAAAGGGUUGAAUGCCCUCACUUCUCUCUCAAUCUAUGUAUCCAUCACACCAAAAGCAAGGAUCGUCUUUGACAAGGAGGGGUUCACAGUUCUCAAGUAUUUCAAGUUCACGUCUGCUGCACUAUGUCUGACCUUUGAUUUAGGAGCAAUGCCAAAGAUCAAAAGGCUUAAGCUAAGGUUCGAUGCUAAUAAAUUUGAGCAAAGUGACAUUCGACAAGCCAGCAUCGACAACUUGUUAGGCCUUAAAGAGGUUUCUGCAAAAAUUGGAAUCCUCGGUACUAUUGAAUCGGGAACCAAAGUUGCCUUAUUGAUGGCCAUCUUCGGAACACAUCCAAGUAGACCAAUCAUCAAUGUGCAAUCGGUGGAUAGGACAUUUGGUGGAAAGAGCAAUGUGCGUCUAAGCACCAUGUUAUUUGAUACCCGGUCUAUUGUGGCACCAGACAUCUCUUCUCCUAUGCAAAUUUUAGGGGAAGUCACAGAAAAUGAGACAAAAACAGAGUCUACACUAGAGGCUACAUUUAGCAAGCUAGAAGGAGAACACAUUAUUACUUUAGAGAUCUCAGAGGAAGUCUCUGAUGAACAUCAUGGAAUUCAAGUAAAGGAUUCCUAGGAAGAUGAUAACACAGAAUAUGAUAGCAGGAAUUAUCUACCACCGAGUUCCAUUUCGCAUCUUCAGGAUCCAGUAACUGAAACUGAUCUAGGGGGCGUUGGAGAUAAAGGGACACAUACUGAGUCUAUAGUAGAGGUUACACUUAGCAAGUUUCCAGAAGAACGCCAUAUAAAAUUUGAGAUCUCAGAGGAAGGCUUUGACGACCAAUUUGGAAUUCAAGGAAGGAACACAUGGGAAGAUGAUAACAUGGAAGCUACCAGGACUUCUGUGCCACAAGUUUCCAUUUCAUAUCCACAAGAUUCAUGGGCAGCAAGCUAGCAGGGUGAUGCAUAUCUCAUCCACACACCAGCCGCCACUGACAAAUCAAAUGGCGACAUCCAACAUAGAUUCAGACGGGAAGUUAUACGAGCUGAAAGAUCAACUUGUGCUGCUGGCCACUUUGGUGGCGAUGGUGACCUACCUCUCCGGGCUCAACCAGCCGGGGGGAGACUGGAAGCCGCAGGAGGAGGGUGGGCACGUCACGGGCGACCCGAUCCUCCGGGACACUCACAACCAUCGGUACCUCAUCUUCAACUACUGCAAUGCCACGGCGUUCGUAUCGUCGGUCGUUGUCUGCCUUAUUCUGGUCAUGCUGCGGAGGAACAGCAAGGUCUGGACGGUGCUGCUAUGGGUUGUCAUGUUGCUCGACCUAGUCGCUCUCAUGUGUUCCUACGGCGGCGGGGCCAGCCGCUACGCCUUGACCACUAUCUUUGUCAUGGCACUCGCUUCUCCCAUCUUGGCCUACAUUGUGUAUACUUUUAUAGGCUACCUCAGUCUGACCAGCCACCCGGACAACAUCAUGAACCCAAGAAAUACAAACACGGGUUACCAAGAGAAGGAGAAGAUCGAAGUGCUGAUGCUGCUGGCGACCUUCGCCUUCACGAUCUCGUAUGCCUCCGGGCUGAACCCUCCUGGUGGUUUCUGGAGGAGCACCCAGAAGCAGGAGGACGGCCGCCUUCUUCACCUCGCCGGAGACCCCAUCAUACAUGACAGGGGGCUCCGGAGGUACCAGGCCUUCUUCAUGUGCAACACCACGGCGCUCGUCGCCUCCUUGCUCAUCAUCCUGCUACUCCUCGACAAGAAGCUGAACAGGACCAUCUCGGCGCGGUUCCUGGCGGUCUACGGCUUAAUCGCCGUCGCACUCAUGGGCCUUAUGGGGGCGUAUGCUGCUGGGGCCUCCAGGGACACCCUCGAUACCGCCAAGGUCAUUUCCCUAUCCGCUGCGGUUCCUGCGUGCGUAUUCCUGCAGCUGGCUCUUAAUAACGUCUUCCGUUGGGAAGUAAUCAAGAACAUGCGUGAUACUUUCUGCCUAUGGUCGAGGAAAUCAAGUUCCGCAGGUGACGAGGCACUUGCGGACCCAGCCUUGAAAAAUACUUGCUUUUUCGCUAUGGUACUUGCUAGCUUCGCGGUAUGCAUCACUUACCAAGCAGCACUGGAUCCACCGGGCGGACUUUGGCAAGACAACCUGGAUGGGCAUAAGAUCGGCCAGCCGGUGCUACAGACGACAAAUCCUGCACGUUACUGGCUGUUCUUCUACAGCAACUCAGCAGUUUUCGUGACAUCUCUGUUAGUGGUCAUGAUGGUACAGAGCAAGUUCCUGCUCACGCUCCGCACUUUGGUGGCAUCCAUGGUACUGGACCUGAUCGGCCUCGUCAUCGCCUACGCCGCCGGGAGUGCCAGAGAUGCAAGCACGUCCAUCUAUUUCGUCGCCAUGAUUGGACUCGUCUUGGUCUACGCCGUUGUCCAUAUCGUAUUCUUUAUCGGAGGAGUGAACGAGAAUGUCGUUGCUGAAGCUGAACAAGAGAAGCUGGAGGACAAGCGUCAGGUGCUGCUGCUAAUCGUCAUCUUGGUGGCGGCGCUCACCUAUCAAGCUGGGCUGACCCCGCCGGGCGGCUUCUGGCCAGCGAAUGACGAGAAGCUUGGUCAUCGCGCGGGAUACCCGGUCCUUGUCGAUACCUAUCCGCACCGCUACACGGCCUUUUUGUACUGCAACGCGGCGAGCUUCAUGGUGUCGGUGGCUCUCAUCCUCCUCGUGAACCACAAGCUGUACUGGCCGGCGCUUCGAUGCAAGGCGCUACACGUGUGUAUGGCGGUUGGCAUGCUCGCGCUCAUGGGUGCCUAUGCUUCCGGGAGCUCCCGCGACCUCAAGAACUCCAUCUACAUGCUGAUGUUGGUGGUCGCGGUGUCGGUCUCCCUACCCCUACGGUUAGCCAUCUUCUGGUACAUCCGGCCCCACAGGUACAGUAUCCGCCUCCAGGACGGACCUAGAACAAGACGGCAAAGAGUGCGUGGCCUAGGUGGCAUCGACAAGGAGAAAGACGAGGAGAUUGAGUACCUAAUGUUGCUAGGGAUCCUGGCUGCGAGCGUGACGUACCAGAGCGGCCUGAGACCUCCGGGUGGCAUGUGGCAGGAGGACAGCGGCGCCUACUUCGCGGGCAACCCGAUCCUACACGACGUCGUCAAGCGCCGGUACGACAUCUUCUUGUACAGCAACUCUGCUUCGUUCAUGGCGUCCGUCCUCACCAUCGUCAUGCUGCUCCCGUUGACGCUUACCAACCUAGAGUGGCUACGGCGCUGCUUACCAUUCCACGCGGCAGACCUCAAGUGGCCAAUUUGGCCGGUCUACACGGCCAUUCUGCUGGACAUGCUCGGCCUGCUCGUGGCCUACACGGCAGGAAGUACCAGGGAUUGGGAGUCAACCAGGAAUGUCAUAUGCAUCAUUGUCCCCAUACUACUCUACAUUGCGGCUUACGCCGCGGUACCGAUCUGGAUGGACACCCGUAGGAAACAUCCUAGAUCUCCCCAGUCGUUAAGCAUGGAAUCAGGCCGACAAAUGCUGCCCCUGUUUAGUAGCUAGCCAAUGAUGAAUCUCCCUCUACAAUAUAGCGGCUAUUGUGUAUUUUUUGUCGAAAAAAGACUGUAAAUCACCAAGUGGAUCCAACUUUUACGUUGUUGUGUUCGUGUAUCUGUCAACACUGUUCGUGCUGGAUAUGACGAGGCAUUGUAUCAUGUCAUCGCCACACUUUAGAGAUAUUUUCUUCUCAC
This 7446-nucleotide ribosomal RNA is filed under the name Triticum aestivum (bread wheat). RNAcentral describes it as "partial small subunit ribosomal RNA". Lineage: Eukaryota; Viridiplantae; Streptophyta; Magnoliopsida; Poales; Poaceae. The record is from RNAcentral.